CAGCCGCCGCGGGAAUACGUAGGUGGUAAGCGUUGUCCGGAAUUAUUGGGCGUAAAGGGCUCGCAGGCGGUUUCUUAAGUCUGAUGUGAAAGCCCCCGGCUCAACCGGGGAGGGUCAUUGGAAACUGGGAAACUUGAGUGCAGAAGAGGAGAGUGGAAUUCCACGUGUAGCGGUGAAAUGCGUAGAGAUGUGGAGGAACACCAGUGGCGAAGGCGACUCUCUGGUCUGUAACUGACGCUGAGGAGCGAAAGCGUGGGGAGCGAACAGGAUUAGAUACCCCUGUAGUCCCUGUCUCUUAUAA
This 301-nucleotide ribosomal RNA is filed under the name uncultured bacterium. RNAcentral's name for it is "partial 16S ribosomal RNA". It matches the Rfam family "Bacterial small subunit ribosomal RNA", at positions 509 to 809 of the family's 1533-position model. The record is from RNAcentral.